GGAAGAAAAGGGCCGCAAGAAAAGAAAAGAGAGGAGACCGAGAGAGAGAGCUCUCGGCUAGGGAAAAGAAGGACAAACAGAGAAAAGAAAUGGGCGACAGACAGAGAGCUUCGCCAAAACUAAGAAAAGGGGAGGGAUUGAAGAGGGUUUCGUCUAAAAAAAAAAGAGAGAACGAAACAGAGCAGGAGGAAGGAAACUAGGACAGAGGGCUUCGGCAAGCUUGGUGAAAAAAAGAAAAGCAGAAGCAAGAAGGGAAAGGCUGCGACCAGGUCUGCCGUUGCCGCCACCGGAACCCACCAUCAUCGCCCGUGGAUCUUCAUCGUCAAGAGCUCUAGGAGUAAAUUGUUUCGGCCAUGGAUUUUUUUUUUUGGUGGGGAAAAGCAGCUACUGGAACUCUGGUUUUGUAUUAUGAUUUUGUUUGUUUGGUCCUGAGUGACUCGGUUUGAGUCUUGGGGCAUUAGUUGGUGUAUCUACAUGCUCCAUUGGGGUUUAUAAAUUCUGUCCCAUGCAUGCUGAAAUGGUAGAGAAGAAGCUGCCGCAUGAUUCGUUAGUCAUCGUGGGUUGCUGAAAUUCAUAGUUGCUCCAAAUACUUGAUUCUCUUGCUGUGCAAUUAGGAUAGCUGGUAUAAAAUUACUAUAAGCUAUGAAGAUCUGACUUGCAAAGUGGCCUAAGACAGAUUUCGCAGGUCUUUCACCAUGUUGCAAAAAUCUGAACUUUCAAAGUGCUAUUGGCUUCAUUUCGAGUUUAUUGAUUUAUAAACAUAGCUUGCUUUUCUGGUUCCCUUAUGAAGAGUUCAACGUUUGGUCAAGGAGUGGAAUGUUUUCUGUUGCAUGAUUUGGUUGGUCGUUGCAAGCAGAUGAUGAAGUUUCUUUUUGCUGCAUUUUCAUGUUUUGUCCUUGUUUUUUCUUGGCUCGGGUUUUAUCCGGGGGGAUCAUCAAAGUUGGAAAAUCAUGUUUGGUUUUGUUAAAAGCAAUGAAUGGUGGAUAGGUAAUGAGUGCUGGUAUGAAUUUUGUGUGGGUUGAAGUUGCAAUUUUGGUAGCAGAAACGAUUGAGGGAAGUUUCAUGAGCUGCAAAAUUUUGCUGCAGAAAGCUUUCUCGUAGAAUUUGCAGGAAGUUUGCAUGAUGAUUUCUAAAAAUUGCACUUUGGCCCCCCAAGUCUCCCUUUGUUGCACUAAGGCCCAAAACCUUCUGCAAAUAAAUCAUUUUUACCUCUUUCAAACUUAAAUUUUUGUAUGUUUUACGUGUGUUUUUUUUAGUUCAUUAAUUCUGAAUUUUGGAAUAAAAUUAGGCUUUAACAGAUUUGGUUCACCCAUUAGUUUGUUGGGUUUUGGUAAAAUGGAAGGGGAAUUGGAUUUAGCUAUUUAUUUGAGUUACUUGGAUUUGGGUUAGGUUUUUUUUUUUAUUUGGGUUUGUCCUGGGCUGAGGGGUUGAAGCCCAUCAGUUUGUUGGAUUAUUCUUUGAGUCAAUAUAAUAAAAUGGCCCAUUCCCUUUCGUUUUGGAUUUCUAGUGGGCUGGAAAGCUUUGGCCCAAACAAAUAAAGGAAAUGGCCCAAUGGCUUGGUCCAUUAAGAAAUCAGAAAACGAUUUUGCAAAUCAUUCCUCAGACUUUUCCUUAAUUAUGCUACGGCCCUAAAAAUGUUAGGCUUCUUUCAAUUGGGUCCUGAUUUAAUUGCAAAUAGGUCCCUAAACUUUAUUUUUCUUUAAUUUUGACCUCAAAACUUUAUUAAUUUUUGCAAUCAAGUCCUUUCUUCUUUUGACUUCUUAAAUGUGGAUUGUUUAUAUGAUUUAAUUGAUUCAAUUUCAUAAUUCAUUUUUAUCUUUUGUGAUUAUUUCUUGAUUAAAGUGGUGUCUUGACCCUUUCUUUGUAUUUUGGAGGAUAAAUAAGUGAUUUCACUCCAUUAGGGCUUCGACUUAAGGGAGGUAUACCUUAUCCCUUAUUUCUUACUUUAUUUAACUCUACGUGCCCUAUGUGACUUUACAUGUUUGAUUGUAUGCCUCUUGAAUGUUUGUUUCAUUCAUUUCAUUUAUUUAUUUAUUUGCUUUAUUGGCUUUGUGCAUUUAUUUUAGUUCAAUUUUGAUCAUUUGAAAGGCACUUGAAUGUCAAAGUUGUAAUAGUUAGGUAUUUAUUUUAAUUAUUUAAUUCAUCUCCCUUUAGAUUGUAGUAGGGCUCCCCAAAUGUAAUAGUUAAGGCUUUAUUUGCUUUAUUGAGUGUUGUGUGAUUUGUCUGCUUACGUGUUAUGUGUUAUCGCUUUCUUAGGACCUUGCAUCUAGAUAUUAUGCUCAUGUGCUAUGUGCUAUACGUGAUUUAGGUGUUUACUUACUUUAUUAUAUGUUUAUUUGGUUAUAACAAAUGCAUGUCGUCACCACACUAGUCCAACGCUAGUUGUGGCCCCUUUUCCCGAAUACACACUAGUCCAACGCUAGUUGUUGACCUUUGUUCCGACUUUUCUCACUAGUCCAAUGCUAGUGGGAAUUCAUAGAUAUGUGACUAGUCCAAUGCUAGACCCUUAGGGACCUUCUACGCUAGAUCAUGCAUGUAUGACUACAUCACAUUCUCAUGCAUAUUUUUACUUUCUAGGGCCUUUUAUCACUUUGUAUGAUAUUUCCCUUAUACACAUAUCCUUUUAUCCCUAAUUUCCCUAUAUAUCUACCCCUGUGUAUGAUAUGUGACAUUAGACUUGCAUUUCAUUUUAGAAAUAGGAUUAGGGUAGUGCAUUUGUUUGACUAGAUUAGGGAAAACCCCUUGGAUAUGGGAUUUGGACGAGUUUGGCUUUUCCUAGCCUUAACACGCUCAUAUUCCCUCUAUUAAAGGGAACAUUGAAAGUCACGAGUAUAAAUUUUUCACACCCAUUAUGAUGCAUUCCCUUAGGUCAUACACAUCUGUAUAUUAUUGAUUUUUACUUUUUCUUUUCUUUUGAGUCUCAUGACUUGCAUUAUUCGUGAUUUUUUUCGAAGAAUCUUUAAUGGGCGUCACGAUUAAUGUGAUUGGUACUAAGUAAGUUUUGAAAAUACAUCUCGACCCCCUGACACCCUCCUAGGUCUAGGUUUUGCAUUCAUAUAGUACAUCCAAAUGUGAUAAAUUUUUAGGUUAAAAUAAGAAAAUCUUUGACUAAAUCGCGAAACUAGCCUUGGCUAGGUUGAAAGUGUGACGACCCCACUUCCCCCUGAGGCGAACCAAAGGGUUGGCGGGCCGUCUGCCCAACUCUCGCCAGGACUCACGCAAGCAAUCUAACCCAAAACCUUUCGAAGAAUAAACUAAUCUAUUACAAAACAAUCUUCCUCGAAUAGAAUCAUACCUAAAGCCACAUUAACUUCAGAGAUAGCUAUGAUAAAAAAAAAAAAAACCAGUCGAGAUCUUAAACGACCUACGUGCCAAAACCGAAGUAUAAGUCGUACCCAUCACAAUAGAUAAAUACAGAAAUCCGUAAUACAACUUACAAGCCAAGUAAUCGACUUAGGGUUUAUACAUUUUUCAUCUUCAAGUGGCAAUUCAAAAAAGAAAAUACAUUAUCCCUAUAACACGU
This is a long non-coding RNA of Coffea arabica (coffee), 3523 nucleotides long. RefSeq lists it as uncharacterized. Lineage: Eukaryota; Viridiplantae; Streptophyta; Magnoliopsida; Gentianales; Rubiaceae. The record is from RefSeq and is a predicted model, not a curated record.